UGGGGAAUAUUGGACAAUGGGCGCAAGCCUGAUCCAGCCAUGCCGCGUGAGUGAUGAAGGCCUUAGGGUUGUAAAGCUCUUUCGCCGGUGAAGAUAAUGACGGUAACCGGAGAAGAAGCCCCGGCUAACUUCGUGCCAGCAGCCGCGGUAAUACGAAGGGGGCUAGCGUUGCUCGGAAUCACUGGGCGUAAAGCGCACGUAGGCGGAUCGUUAAGUCAGGGGUGAAAUCCUGGAGCUCAACUCCAGAACUGCCCUUGAUACUGGCGAUCUCGAGUUCGAGAGAGGUUGGUGGAACUCCGAGUGUAGAGGUGAAAUUCGUAGAUAUUCGGAAGAACACCAGUGGCGAAGGCGGCCAACUGGCUCGAUACUGACGCUGAGGUGCGAAAGCGUGGGGAGCAAAACAGGAUUAGAUACCCUGGUAGUCCACGCCGUAAACGAUGGAUGCUAGCCGUUGGGGGGUUUGACCUCUCAGUGGCGCAGCUAACGCCUUAAGCAUCCCGCCUGGGGAGUACGGUCGCAAGAUUAAAAACUCAAAGGAAUUGACGGGGUCAUAGCUGUUUCCU
RNAcentral lists this ribosomal RNA (563 nucleotides) under uncultured bacterium. RNAcentral's name for it is "partial 16S ribosomal RNA". It matches the Rfam family "Bacterial small subunit ribosomal RNA", at positions 355 to 1375 of the family's 1533-position model. The record is from RNAcentral.